UACGGAGGAUGCGAGCGUUAUCCGGAUUUAUUGGGUUUAAAGGGUGCGUAGGCGGCUUUUUAAGUCAGCGGUGAAAUUUUGCAGCUUAACUGUAACAGCGCCGUUGAUACUGGGGAGCUAGGAUUUGGUUGUAGUGUGCGUAAUGUGUGGUGUAGCGGUGAAAUGCUUAGAUAUCACACAGAACACCGAUUGCGAAGGCAGCACACUAAGUCAUUAUUGACGCUGAGGCACGAAAGUGUGGGGAUCAAACAGGAUUAGA
RNAcentral lists this ribosomal RNA (259 nucleotides) under uncultured prokaryote. Its description in RNAcentral is "partial 16S ribosomal RNA". It matches the Rfam family "Bacterial small subunit ribosomal RNA", at positions 524 to 782 of the family's 1533-position model. The record is from RNAcentral.